UGGAUGGAAGCUUUAUUGCAUCUGUCGACCCUUCCUGGAGAGGGCAUACACACUGAGACAGUUCUUUUUCUGACAGUUCUUUCUAAGACAGUUUGAGGAAGUGAGACGUCUUUGAGGUGGCUACCAGGACCCCUUUAGGUCCCUGUGAUGUUCAUUUGCUGAUGUUUCUAUGCUGGGUGAUGCCUCCAAAUAUCAUCACAUUCUUCAGUUCCACUGAAUGUGUGGGAGUUAUUUAGGGAGAACCUAGUGAGCUACAGCCAA
RNAcentral lists this long non-coding RNA (261 nucleotides) under Castor canadensis (American beaver). RNAcentral describes it as "SMAD5 antisense RNA 1 conserved region 1 (ENSCCNG00000026174.1)". It matches the Rfam family "SMAD5 antisense RNA 1 conserved region 1". The record is from RNAcentral. Lineage: Eukaryota; Metazoa; Chordata; Mammalia; Rodentia; Castoridae.